AUGCACGCUGGCGGCGUGCCUAAUACAUGCAAGUCGAGCGAACGGACGAGAAGCUUGCUUCUCUGAUGUUAGCGGCGGACGGGUGAGUAACACGUGGAUAACCUACCUAUAAGACUGGGAUAACUUCGGGAAACCGGAGCUAAUACCGGAUAAUAUUUUGAACCGCAUGGUUCAAAAGUGAAAGACGGUCUUGCUGUCACUUAUAGAUGGAUCCGCGCUGCAUUAGCUAGUUGGUAAGGUAACGGCUUACCAAGGCAACGAUGCAUAGCCGACCUGAGAGGGUGAUCGGCCACACUGGAACUGAGACACGGUCCAGACUCCUACGGGAGGCAGCAGUAGGGAAUCUUCCGCAAUGGGCGAAAGCCUGACGGAGCAACGCCGCGUGAGUGAUAAAGGUCUUCGGAUCGUAAAACUCUGUUAUUAGGGAAGAACAUAUGUGUAAGUAACUGUGCACAUCUUGACGGUACCUAAUCAGAAAGCCACGGCUAACUACGUG
Molecule: ribosomal RNA, 496 nt
Filed under: uncultured bacterium
Lineage: Bacteria
Description: partial 16S ribosomal RNA
Rfam family: Bacterial small subunit ribosomal RNA
Source: RNAcentral